GGUCGGGUUGCUCUGAUGGCCAUGGGCGACUGCCCUUUCACGGCAGGGGUCGCGGGUUCGAUUCCCGUCCCGAUCA
RNAcentral lists this transfer RNA (76 nucleotides) under Microbacterium sp. RNAcentral describes it as "tRNA-Glu". It matches the Rfam family "tRNA". From Rfam's summary of the family: Transfer RNA (tRNA) molecules are approximately 80 nucleotides in length. Their secondary structure includes four short double-helical elements and three loops (D, anti-codon, and T loops). Further hydrogen bonds mediate the characteristic L-shaped molecular structure. tRNAs have two regions of fundamental functional importance: the anti-codon, which is responsible for specific mRNA codon recognition, and the 3' end, to which the tRNAs corresponding amino acid is attached (by aminoacyl-tRNA synthetases). tRNAs cope with the degeneracy of the genetic code in two manners: having more than one tRNA (with a specific anti-codon) for a particular amino acid; and 'wobble' base-pairing, i.e. permitting non-standard base-pairing at the 3rd anti-codon position. The record is from RNAcentral. Lineage: Bacteria; Bacillati; Actinomycetota; Actinomycetes; Micrococcales; Microbacteriaceae.